ACUCCUACGGGAGGCAGCAGUGGGGAAUUUUGGACAAUGGGCGCAAGCCUGAUCCAGCCAUGCCGCGUGUCUGAAGAAGGCCUUCGGGUUGUAAAGGACUUUUGUCUGGGAGCAAAUACCCGGUGUUAAUAGCGCCGGGGGCUGAGAGUACCAGAAGAAUAAGCACCGGCUAACUACGUGCCAGCAGCCGCGGUAAUACG
RNAcentral lists this ribosomal RNA (200 nucleotides) under uncultured bacterium. RNAcentral describes it as "partial 16S ribosomal RNA". It matches the Rfam family "Bacterial small subunit ribosomal RNA", at positions 335 to 527 of the family's 1533-position model. The record is from RNAcentral.